GCAAAUAUAGUUUAACCAAAACAUUAGAUUGUGAAUCUAAAAAUAAGAGUUUAACCCUCCUUAUAUGCC
This 69-nucleotide transfer RNA is filed under the name Petaurus australis (yellow-bellied glider). Its description in RNAcentral is "tRNA-His". It matches the Rfam family "tRNA". From Rfam's summary of the family: Transfer RNA (tRNA) molecules are approximately 80 nucleotides in length. The record is from RNAcentral. Lineage: Eukaryota; Metazoa; Chordata; Mammalia; Diprotodontia; Petauridae. RNAcentral also lists the same sequence under 1 other name.